UUCCGGUUGAUCCUGCCGGAGGCUACCGCUAUUGGAGUUCGAUUAAGCCAUGCGAGUCGAGGGUCUUAGGGACUCGGCGUACCGCUCAGUAACACGUGGGUAACCUGCCCUAUGCUGGGGAAUAACCUCGGGAAACUGAGAAUAAUGCCCCAUAGUCCACCAUGCCUGGAACGGUUGGUGGAUCAAAGCUCCGGCGGCAUAGGAUGGGCCUGCGGCGUAUCAGGUCGUAGGGGGUGUAACGUACCCUCUAGCCAUCGACGCGUACGGGUGUUGGGAGACAUAGCCCGGAGAUGGAUUCUGAGACACGAAUCCAGACCCUACGGGGUGCAGCAGGCGCGAAAACUUGGCAAUGCGAGAAAUCGUGACCAGGGAACUCCAAGUGGCUGGGGUAAGACCCAGUCUUUUCUUGACUCUUCAACGGUCUUGGAAUAAGGGGUGGGUAAGGACGGUGCCAGCCGCCGCGGUAAUACCGGCGCCUCAAGUGGUAGUCGAUUUUAUUGGGCCUAAAACGUCCGUAGCCUGUUUGGUACAUUCGUGGGUAAAUCAACCAGCUCAACUGAUUGAAUUCUGCGAGCACGGCCAGACUUGGGACCGGGAGAGGUGUGGGGUACGCUCAGGGUAGGGGUAA
This 628-nucleotide ribosomal RNA is filed under the name uncultured archaeon. RNAcentral describes it as "bacterial SSU rRNA". It matches the Rfam family "Archaeal small subunit ribosomal RNA", at positions 1 to 635 of the family's 1478-position model. The record is from RNAcentral.